RNAcentral lists this ribosomal RNA (627 nucleotides) under uncultured archaeon. RNAcentral describes it as "partial 16S ribosomal RNA". The record is from RNAcentral.
GUGUCCCCCGCCAAUUCCUGCAGGCUGAUGAUCUCCAUCGACUGGUUCUCCUCUUCGACCUGCUCGUUGACGUACCAGUCGAGCAGCGUCUGCGUCGCAUAGUCCUUCUCGCCAGACGCCAGGCCAUAAAGGUCGUUGAUGGCUGCUGUUACGUCUUCCUCGUGCCUGAGGACGUUCUUGAACACAUCAAGCAGGUUCUUGUACUUGGCGGGUGGUUCGGCGAUGACAUUGAGCUUAACGGAUCCGCCGCGGUUGCCGAUGUAGUCGACGAGCUUCGUCGCGUGGACGAGCUCCUCUUCCCACUGGAUGCGCAGCCAGCUGGCCGCUCCCUGCAGGUUCUGCUCGUCGGCCCAGGCAGACAUCGCCAGGUAAACGUAGGCGGAGGCCAGCUCGCGGUUGAUCUGCUUGUUGAGGGCGUUCUGGACCUUGCUGGAGAUUCGUGGCAUGUGUCGCUCCUUGGUGAUCUGGCUUCGGAGACAAACAUAACACGCACCCAGCGUAGGGAGGAAAGGCUAGAGAAAGGCCUUCGCGUCGACUCCUAGCUCCCGCAAGAGUCCGGCAACCCUCGCGCGGAUGUCCUCGCGGAUACGCCGAACGACAUCGAUCUGCUGGCCGGCGGGAUCAACC